This 2619-nucleotide long non-coding RNA is filed under the name Homo sapiens (human). RNAcentral's name for it is "HSALNT0302830". Lineage: Eukaryota; Metazoa; Chordata; Mammalia; Primates; Hominidae. The record is from RNAcentral.
AAUCCCCACAGCCUUGCCUGUGGAGAUGCCCUAUCUGUCCCCACUCUGUCAAGCCCAGGGAAAGGCGUGGGGUCAGAGGAUUUGGCUCUGUCACACCAUUCACUGCCUGCCCUUCUUCCCAGCGCUUCCAAGAUCUGGUUGUAUUAAACACGAGAAUGAAGAGAGGAAAACACCUUCGCCCACGGUGUGCUCUGGGGACAUCUCCAGGUGUGGGUGGUGGCGUCAGCCACAGGACAGGCCCUUGAAUGGUCUCCUGCCACAUUGCAUCAGGGUCGGUCUGCAUGGCCCACAAGUACAGCAGAAGUGAUGGCAUAUGCCUUCGAGGCUAGCUUAAGAAAGACACGGUGAUUAGCCUGCAUUAGUUUCUGCCUUGGGCUGCUCACUAUGGAAGCCAGCUGCUGUGUUGUAAGGAUGUUCACGCAGCCCUCUCAGAGGUCCCAGAGGUGAGGAACUGACGCCUCCUGCCAACAGCCAUGUGAGGACCCAUCUUGGACGUGAAUCCUCCCGCCUCAUAUCAAGCCCUCACGUGACAGCAGCUCUGCUUAAUAUCUUGACCGCAACCUCAUGAGAGACCCUGAACCAGAACAACUCACCUUAGUCGCGUCCAAAUUCCUGACUCUAAGUUACCAUUAGAGAUGACACACGUUUUGCUGUUGAGGCUGCUGUUUCAGGGCAAUUUGUUACAUAGCAAUAGAUAACUCAUGCAAAGCACUUGGCAACUCUAAGUGGUUUUUCCCACUGCGUGUUUGGGGAGGCUUCUGGACUGGGGUUUUGCCUCCUCUGCCAGACAGGAAAUAUUAGGGUUCCCAAAAGAUCACAGCAGCUCACUCAACAGCUCCUUCCCUCGCUCCUUCUCUCUUCCCAGCAAAUUGAAGGUACUUCCCUUUAAGCAACCAAAAUCCAACAACAGAUGCUUCAACAAUAGAUGCAAAAAGAAAUCUGAAUUGGGGGAGGGUGAGAAAAGAAAAAUAAGAAAAAAGGGAAGAAAAAGAUCCAUCCCUGUGAGGUCUGAGAAUAAAAGAAGGAAAAGGAAAAGAAAAAAAAAAAAAAAGAAAUCACCAGUGAACCCCUACCUGGCUAAAACAGAGUUUUCUCCUCAUCUCCACCCCCAGAGGUCUCCAGUCAGGGAGGUGACUGGCCUUGGGCACUGGUACAUUCCCAAACACUAUGUAAACAAGCCCCAUCAGACCCUUCCAGCCUCCGAAGCUGUCAUUGCCUCCCUUUUGCUAAGUUGGUAUUUAAACCUUUACCUCUGGCUGUACAGCAAGGUACUUAUUACCGAGUGCUCCCACAUAUGAAUAGACCUCGUCUUUUUUCCCGUUCGUAUGUCUAUUGUGAGUCAUUUCACAAACCCCCUCCUCAAACCUAAGUUGGUAGAGGAAAAGACUUUUCUCCCAGCACCCUCAAGUCAAAGAAAUUCCCAGGGGCUGUCAAGUGAGAAGUUCUGGAGCCCACUGCACUGAGUAUUCUCUCUGGUCAAAAUGAACUUUCCUAAGAACAACCACCUCCAAUAGGGGAGAUGCUGCAGGGACCCCAGAUACACCCACCACACCCAGAUACAAAUGGCCAGAGGCCCUUGGAAACACAGCUCCUGGACCUUAGGUCAUAGCUGAGGCACCCUCUGACAUACACAACGCUGCAUCAUCGCCUGGUCUGCAGCAGCUUCUUUUUGGGUUUUGGCUUCUUUAACAAACACUUAGUGCUUGCUAUGAGUCAGGCUCUCUUCUAAGUAUGUUAGAAAUAUGAAGUCAUUUAAUCCUCACAACAACCUGCCUAGGAAGGUAUUUUUACAGAUAAGGAUCCUGGGGCACAGAGAGGUGAAACAAUUUGCCCAAGGCCACACAGUGCAUGAGUGGCAGGGCCAGCCUGGCUCCAUGCUCUGCCCUGAGAUGAGAAUGGACCCAGGGUCCAUUUAGUGAGCAUUCUGUGCCACCAGGGCACUGUUUCUUGGCCAGCACUCCUGGGGCUGGACAGGGUUGUGUAUGUUGGUUUGGGCUGGGGGGAAUCCAGGGGUCCAUGUCCAAGCAGGGCAUCAGCUCUUGAGGAAGCAAGGCCAUGGCCUUACUAGAGAGAACUUCGUCUUCCAGGGCCAAUCUCCACAGUCAGCUGAGGGUCUGCCUGAGCCCUGCCCAGGGUAGGAGGGGCUCUUGUGCGCAGGCUCAUACCUGCUUCCUCACCCCUGCCAGGUUUGCCCCUAUGUUUCCCACCUUCCUGGACCAGUGCCCCUCAACUAAGGGCAGUUUUGUCCCCCAGAAGACAUCUGACAAUGUCUAAAGGCAUUUUUGAUAGUCAUGACUAGAAGGCUGCUACUGGCAUCUAGUGAACAGAGGCCGGAGAUGCUGCGAAACAGCCUACAAUGCACAGAACAAAGCCUCACCACAAAGAAUGGUCUGUCAGUAGUGCGGCGGUGAGAAGCCAUGAUCUAGGCCCACCUCACGGCAUCCUUAAGGCUGAGAACCCCUCCCGUGUGAUCUGUGUCUUGUUACAGCAGGGGUCCAGCGUCCUUGGAGGGCCACACCCAUCCUCACUUUGGCGUCUCCCAGAGGCUACAACAGAAAGUGAAGGACUCAGUUUGUACUGCAGCCUCAAGUUCUUGGAAAUAAAAUAAGGAUGUUGAGG